This 253-nucleotide ribosomal RNA is filed under the name uncultured bacterium. RNAcentral describes it as "partial 16S ribosomal RNA". It matches the Rfam family "Bacterial small subunit ribosomal RNA", at positions 524 to 776 of the family's 1533-position model. The record is from RNAcentral.
UACGUAGGGUGCAAGCGUUAAUCGGAAUUACUGGGUUUAAAGGGUACGUAGGUGGGCUUUUAAGUCAGUGGUGAAAUCCCGAAGCUUAACUUCGGAACUGCCAUUGAUACUAUUAGUCUUGAAUAUUUUGGAGGUCAGCGGAAUGUAUCAUGUAGCGGUGAAAUGCUUAGAUAUGAUAUAGAACACCGAUUGCGAAGGCAGCUGGCUACACAAUUAUUGACACUGAGGUACGAAAGCGUGGGGAGCGAACAGG